RNAcentral lists this ribosomal RNA (253 nucleotides) under uncultured prokaryote. RNAcentral describes it as "partial 16S ribosomal RNA". It matches the Rfam family "Bacterial small subunit ribosomal RNA", at positions 524 to 776 of the family's 1533-position model. The record is from RNAcentral.
UACGUAGGGUGCAAACGUUGUUCGGAAUUACUGGGCGUAAAGCGCAUGUAGGCGGCCGAGCAGGUCGGAUGUGAAAUCCCUUGGCUCAACCAAGGAAGUGCAUUCGAAACCGUUCGGCUUGAGUCCCGGAGAGGAAGGUGGAAUUCUCGGUGUAGAGGUGAAAUUCGUAGAUAUCGGGAGGAACACCGGUGGCGAAAGCGGCCUUCUGGACGAGGACUGACGCUGAGAUGCGAAAGCAUGGGGAGCAAACAGG